RNAcentral lists this ribosomal RNA (851 nucleotides) under Acinetobacter baumannii. RNAcentral's name for it is "bacterial SSU rRNA". It matches the Rfam family "Bacterial small subunit ribosomal RNA", at positions 23 to 868 of the family's 1533-position model. Lineage: Bacteria; Pseudomonadati; Pseudomonadota; Gammaproteobacteria; Moraxellales; Moraxellaceae. The record is from RNAcentral.
CUCAGAUUGAACGCUGGCGGCAGGCUUAACACAUGCAAGUCGAGCGGGGGAAGGUAGCUUGCUACUGGACCUAGCGGCGGACGGGUGAGUAAUGCUUAGGAAUCUGCCUAUUAGUGGGGGACAACAUCUCGAAAGGGAUGCUAAUACCGCAUACGUCCUACGGGAGAAAGCAGGGGAUCUUCGGACCUUGCGCUAAUAGAUGAGCCUAAGUCGGAUUAGCUAGUUGGUGGGGUAAAGGCCUACCAAGGCGACGAUCUGUAGCGGGUCUGAGAGGAUGAUCCGCCACACUGGGACUGAGACACGGCCCAGACUCCUACGGGAGGCAGCAGUGGGGAAUAUUGGACAAUGGGGGGAACCCUGAUCCAGCCAUGCCGCGUGUGUGAAGAAGGCCUUAUGGUUGUAAAGCACUUUAAGCGAGGAGGAGGCUACUUUAGUUAAUACCUAGAGAUAGUGGACGUUACUCGCAGAAUAAGCACCGGCUAACUCUGUGCCAGCAGCCGCGGUAAUACAGAGGGUGCGAGCGUUAAUCGGAUUUACUGGGCGUAAAGCGUGCGUAGGCGGCUUAUUAAGUCGGAUGUGAAAUCCCCGAGCUUAACUUGGGAAUUGCAUUCGAUACUGGUGAGCUAGAGUAUGGGAGAGGAUGGUAGAAUUCCAGGUGUAGCGGUGAAAUGCGUAGAGAUCUGGAGGAAUACCGAUGGCGAAGGCAGCCAUCUGGCCUAAUACUGACGCUGAGGUACGAAAGCAUGGGGAGCAAACAGGAUUAGAUACCCUGGUAGUCCAUGCCGUAAACGAUGUCUACUAGCCGUUGGGGCCUUUGAGGCUUUAGUGGCGCAGCUAACGCGAUAAGUAGA